This 825-nucleotide long non-coding RNA is filed under the name Triticum aestivum (bread wheat). RNAcentral's name for it is "long non-coding RNA (TAES_LNC010690)". The record is from RNAcentral. Lineage: Eukaryota; Viridiplantae; Streptophyta; Magnoliopsida; Poales; Poaceae.
CACAACCCGUCGAUGGGCUAAGUGGACUUCUUUAAAAGGAAAUAUUUUUACAAACAACCACGCUCGCGUUAGUGAAUCAUAUUCACUAUUCCCUUUGUCCAGUCUAAUCAUUUUUCACACAUACCAGUACAUAACUGCACUCCACAAUGCAUAGCCAUUUUCUAAAAAAUACAGAUGAAAAUGAAAGGCAACGGUCUCUGCACCUAAGCGAUGCCUGUUUUUCCUCAAAAAGAACUGCAUGGGGCAGCAAGAGAACCUCCUCCCCAGACCAAGCAAAAUGCAUGCCGCGCGCAUCCGCACUGCAGCGGCGGACGUCCGAAACCUAACUCCCAAGCGCCAGGGAACUGCACGCCCGUCGACCUCUCAUGUUCCAACCAAACUCUCACGCGCUAAGUAAAUGCAUGCUUAUCAUCCUCUCACGCCCCUGCAUACUGCGCCGACGACCCAACUGACCUGCAGCGAGAGCAAACUGCACUGCUCGCGCCUGGAGGCAGUGAACAGCAAGGUGUCAGCGUCCCCGUCGAACUGCACAAAACAAAAUCUGAAACACACCAAGAAUUCCAUUGCACAGUGAGCACCACCUCGAAUUCCAGCCAAACUACACGGGUGUAGCGACCGAACCGCAUCUCUUCCUGCUCGUCGAAACUGCACAUCAAGAAUGGAAUAGGUAAGCAAAUAAAAAACAAGACGAGAACUGUGCGGCUUUGUUUAUUUGCAAAUACAGUACAUUUUUUACAUGAACUACAAAAGAGAAAAAUGGCAAAAAAACGCACGGGCGUGCUUAGCGGACUGCACACGCGGGAUGGAUUGUGGAGUGCAGGCCGU